Long non-coding RNA from Zonotrichia leucophrys gambelii, 828 nucleotides. RefSeq lists it as uncharacterized. The record is from RefSeq and is a predicted model, not a curated record. NCBI's taxonomy places the organism in Eukaryota, Metazoa, Chordata, Aves, Passeriformes, Passerellidae. The transcript is spliced from 2 exons.
CAGGACCCCCGUGGUGUCCCUUGAGGGGGAGGAGGUGCUCUACAGCCACGUGGUGCCCACGGCCAGGGCAGCGGGGUCCCCAAGUGUCACCCCCGAGGAGCCCCAGGUGACCUACGCGGAGCUGCGGGCACCGAGGUGGCACCUGGGGGACAGCGGGGACUACGAGAACGUGCUGUGACACCGGGGUGGCACCAAGGGGUGGCACAGGGUCCUAAAUGCCACCCAGGGGACAGCAGUGACACUGGGGUGACACUGGGUCCCCAAGUGCCACCCCUCAGGAAGCUGCCAGGUCCCCAAAUGCCACCCUGGGGACAGUGGUGACAUCCACGAGAACGUGCUGUGACACCGGGGUGGCACCGGGGGUGGCACUGGGUCCUCAAAUGCCACCCAGAGGACAGCAGUGACAUUGAUGAGACCAUGCUGUGACACCGGGGGUGGCACUGGGUGGCACUGGGGACAGCCACACGCGUGGUGUCCCCUCGUCCUGUGGGUGCCCACCCUGCCCAUGGCCCUGUCCCCUCCCUGUCCCUUGUGACCGUGGCCACCACAAGCUGCUGGCAGCUGGCCUUGUCCCCUCCUUGUGGCCACCAGGACCUGUCUCCGUCCCCUGUCCCUCUGUCCCUCUGAGCCGUGGGAAUUUGGGACAAUCCCAAGAACGAGCCCAGAGUGACCCCAGGGGGGUUUUGGGGACACUCUGGGGGUUUGGGGACACCCCAGGGUGGUCCCAGCGAGCGGAGCCCUCCCCCGAUGGAAGGAAUGAAAGUUAAACUUUGAUUUCUGUCACAUUUUCCAUUUUUCUGCACAAUAAAUUCAAUUCUUGUCCCCAAA